CGAUUCGACAUGGUCUGAUUAUAUUGAUUGUCUUGUUUUUAGUUUUGUGAUAUAUUUUUUGUUAAUUAAAAUAUUACUUUGUUAUUGUAUUGUUUAUUGAUCUAAUUUUUUUACUAUAGGUUAUUUGUACCGUGAUGGGUAGAAAGUAUAAAUGUUUAUUUAAAAGUUGAUUUUGUUUGUUGUACCUUGUGUAUCAGGGUUCAUUAAAUUUUAUUAUUUAUUUUUAUUUCCCGAUUUUGAAGGAGUUAAUCGGCUUAUGUUAGUUACUGUUUCAUUAUUAUUAAUAAUAGGCGGUUGGUAGUGAAAUGUUAUUCGUCUUUGGUGGUUUCUGGUUUUUCAAGAAAUGAAUUUAAUUCAUACAUUUUGUUUAAAUUUUAGUUGUUGAUCUAUUUAUUUUUAUUUGAUGUUAAGAUUAAGGGGGAUUAGCUCUUUGUUUUAUUUUUAUAAUUGGUUAAUUGUUAAUUUAGUUUUGUGGAUUUUAUGUUGAUUUUCUAUUUGAUUAUGUUAAAAUUUUGUUUGUUCUUUUUUGUAUUUUUUAUUAUUUAGAUUAUUUAUUGGAAUGUUUUCUUUAUCUUUGGUUUGUGUAGUAAUUAUUAUGUAAUUAGUAAAUUUUAUUUAUUAUUUUGUUUUUAGUGAUAGGUUUAAUUGCUUUUGAGGAAUUAGGCAAAGUUUAUAUGUCCGCCUGUUUAACAAAAACAUCUUUUCUUGUUAGUUUUUGAAGUAUGGCCUGCCCACUGACUAUUGUUGAAGGGCCGCGGUAUUUUGACCGUGCAAAGGUAGCAUAAUCAUUAGUUCUUUAAUUGUGAUCUGGUAUGAAUGGCUUGACGAGACAUAAGCUGUGUCUUAUGGGUAUUGUUUAUUGAAUUUGGUUUUUGAGUUAAAAUUCUUAAAUGUUUUUAUGGGACGAGAAGACCCUAUAGAGUUUGACAUUUAUCCCAUUUAUUGGAGUUUGCUUUAUUAUUGAAUGGGAUAAGUUGUUUUGUUGGGGUGAUGAGAGGAAUAAUAUUUAACUCCUCUUUAUUUUUAUAUAUUUAUUUAUAUAUUUUCUUGAUCCAUUUAUUUUGAUUAUAAGAUUAAAUUACCUUAGGGAUAACAGCGUUAUCCUCUUUGAGAGUUCUUAUUGGCGGGAGGGUUUGCGACCUCGAUGUUGGAUUAAGGUGAAUUUUCGGUGCAGGAGCUGAAAGUGAUUAGGUCUGUUCGACCUUUAAAAUCUUACAUGAUCUGAGUUCAGACCGGCGUGAGCCAGGUUGGUUUCUAUCUAUAGAAUUGUUUUAUAUCUUAGUACGAGAGGACCGGAUAUUUGAAAUAAUUUCAUUUGUUAUAUUGGUUUUUGUUAAUAUACUGUUUUGGCAGAUAAGUGCGUUAGAUUUAGAAUCUAUU
RNAcentral lists this ribosomal RNA (1380 nucleotides) under Aciculitermes maymyoensis. RNAcentral's name for it is "16S ribosomal RNA". The stretch from base 898 to 1263 matches the Rfam family "Bacterial large subunit ribosomal RNA", at positions 2074 to 2646 of the family's 2925-position model. The record is from RNAcentral. Lineage: Eukaryota; Metazoa; Arthropoda; Insecta; Blattodea; Termitidae.